This 253-nucleotide ribosomal RNA is filed under the name uncultured bacterium. RNAcentral's name for it is "partial 16S ribosomal RNA". It matches the Rfam family "Bacterial small subunit ribosomal RNA", at positions 524 to 776 of the family's 1533-position model. The record is from RNAcentral.
UACGUAGGGAGCAAGCGUUGUCCGGAAUCAUUGGGCGUAAAGCGCGCGUAGGUGGUCCCGUAAGUCCGCUGUGAAAGCCAAAGGCUCAACCUUUGAAAGCCGGUGGAUACUGUGGGACUAGAGUACGGAAGAGGCGAGUGGAAUUCCUGGUGUAGCGGUGGAAUGCGCAGAUAUCAGGAGGAACACCAAUAGCGAAGGCAGCUCGCUGGGACGUUACUGACACUGAGGCGCGAAAGCGUGGGGAGCAAACAGG